CCUACGGGAGGCAGCAGUAAGGAAUAUUGCGCAAUGGGCAAAAGCCUGACGCAGCAACGCCGCGUGCGGGAUGGAGGCCUUCGGGCUGUAAACCGUUUUCAGCAGGAACGAAAAUGACGGUACCUGCAGAAGAAGGAGCGGCCAACUACGUG
This 152-nucleotide ribosomal RNA is filed under the name uncultured bacterium. RNAcentral's name for it is "partial 16S ribosomal RNA". It matches the Rfam family "Bacterial small subunit ribosomal RNA", at positions 338 to 507 of the family's 1533-position model. The record is from RNAcentral.